CCUACGGGAGGCAGCAGUGGGGAAUAUUGCACAAUGGGCGAAAGCCUGAUGCAGCGACGCCGCGUGAGGGAUGACGGCCUUCGGGUUGUAAACCUCUUUCAGCAGGGAAGAAGCGAGAGUGACGGUACCUGCAGAAGAAGCGCCGGCUAACUACGUGCCAGCAGCCGCGGUAAUACGUAGGGCGCAAGCGUUGUCCGGAAUUAUUGGGCGUAAAGAGCUCGUAGGCGGCUUGUCACGUCGGUUGUGAAAGCCCGGGGCUUAACCCCGGGUCUGCAGUCGAUACGGGCAGGCUAGAGUGUGGUAGGGGAGAUCGGAAUUCCUGGUGUAGCGGUGAAAUGCGCAGAUAUCAGGAGGAACACCGGUGGCGAGGGCGGAUCUCUGGGCCAUUACUGACGCUGAGGAGCGAAAGCGUGGGGAGCGAACAGGAUUAGAUACCCUGGUAGUCCACGCCGUAAACGGUGGGAACUAGGUGUUGGCGACGAUUCCACGUCGUCGGUGCCGCAGCUAACGCAUUAAGUUCCCGCCUGGGGAGUACGGCCGCAAGGCUAAAACUCAAAGGAAUUGACGGCGNGAGACGNGCGACGACGACGACGAGGAGAGG
This 601-nucleotide ribosomal RNA is filed under the name uncultured bacterium. RNAcentral's name for it is "bacterial SSU rRNA". It matches the Rfam family "Bacterial small subunit ribosomal RNA", at positions 338 to 961 of the family's 1533-position model. The record is from RNAcentral.